RNA transcript from Tripterygium wilfordii, 2174 nucleotides. RefSeq lists it as uncharacterized. The record is from RefSeq and is a predicted model, not a curated record. Lineage: Eukaryota; Viridiplantae; Streptophyta; Magnoliopsida; Celastrales; Celastraceae. The transcript is spliced from 4 exons.
UGCCACCAUUUUUUUGUUCAAUUGUGUUAUGUGCUAUCUGGGUAUUAGAGACAUUAGAAUAUUGCACAUAAAAUCUUAGUGGGUUUAGGAUAUACGUCAUCCUAAUUCCCUGUGAGUGUUAUUCUAACAUCUUUAUUUCUGCUCUUUUGACUGUGUUUUCAGUUGGGUUUGCUUUGUUUUCUGUUUUCUUGAAGUGGGUUGUCCUUGACUUUAGUGGGUUUUGGUUUAUGUGCUGUGGUUUUUGAUCAUCUUUUUCAUGAUCGACUUCCUAAUGAUUGAGCAAGUUCGAACUUGGGUAUUAAUUUCUAUGUUGAAUUUGAAUUUGGGAAUUUAUCGAGGCAAUUAUGUAAAAUCUCCCCAACUUGGAAAGAUUUUGUCUUAUCCAUCCUAGCAAAUUUAUCUGCUAAGCGUAUAAGUGAUUGUAAAUGCUCUUUGUGCCUAGGUAUGCACGUGUGCCCUCAAAGGAGAGAUUUUUUUAAAAAAAUUUCUAUCUACUGAGCAUCUAAAGAGUAGAGAUGGAUUUGAAACUUAUACAUGCAUUAAAGCAGUAGCAGAGGCAUUGAGUGUCCAGUCAGCUUAUGCGCCUGUGUGUGGUUGCUAUUUUGUAGAAUUGGGAGAAAAUGAUUUGUUAUUUUAUUGACUGUGUUUGAGAGAAUUGUGGAGAUUGACGCAUCAGUUAUUUUUACUGGUUGACUAAAGUGAUAUAUUUAUUGAAUGUUUUUUUUUUUUUGCAUGGGAUAUCUCCAUAUAUCUGGGUGUUGGGACAUCGUCUUUGAGGCAGCUUUUGAAACGUUUUGGAGCUUUUUGACUGUGUUUGAAGGUUAGUUAGAUAGAUGGCCGAACUAGACAAAAGCUGGAUGAAUAUUAUCAACCGUUUGGACCCUGAUUAUAUUAGGGGGGUUGAGGGAUUUCUUGAUUUUGCUUUUCGACACCCAAGAGUAGGAAAUCUGAUAUAUUGCCCGUGUCGAAAGUGCUUUAAUGGACAUCUUAAGACUAGAGAGAAUGUUAAGGAAGAUUUGAUCAUAAGUGGGAUAGUUCGUACUUACACCUUUUGGAACUUCCAUGGCGAAGAACGAUCGGCUACCGUUGACAAUGAAGAUGAUGAGCUUGAGCUUGAGGUGGAAUGUGAUGAAAUAGAUGAGUUGAUAGCAAAUACCUUACCAGGUCUUAAUCCGGAGAAUUUUGCCGACCAUGAAUAUGAUGUGGGUACUACUAGUAGUACUAUGUCACAAAAUGAGGCUGAAAGAAUUUAUAGGGUUCUUCAAAAUGCCAAAACUAGCAUAUAUCCUGGUUGUGAGAUUUCAUUACUCUCAUUCAUCUUAAAACUCCUACAUAUUAAAUGUGUUGGGGGGAUGAAUAAUAAUGCAUUCACCAUGUUGCUUAAAGAGUUGAAGAAUGCUUUUCCUAGUGGUGAAACACUACCGAAGUCGUAUUAUGAGGCAAAAAAGAUUUUCCAAGAUCUUGGGCACUCAUAUAACAAGAUAGAUGCAUGCGUUAAUGAUUGUGUUCUAUUUCGCAAAGAACUUUGAUCAACGAGCGAGAGGAGGGAUUGAACUCCUUAGACGACGAGCACAUCUUCACCCAAGUUCUCGGGCCAGACAGACCUGGUCGUGUGCGUUGUCGAGGACAUGGAGUAGUGCCAUCUUCUGAAGGUUUUAAUAGUAGGUCAGGAUCCUCUCAAUCUAUACAAGAAGCAAAAAGAGCUGCUGAGAUUGCGCAAAGAGAAGCUGAAGCGGCAAGGAACGAGCUUGAAGACUAUAAGAAAAUAUCCGAUGAGAGAGCAAGAAAAAUGGAGGAAGAUGUGGCUAGGCUUACGCAGGCUUUGCUGAGAUUUACAGAAAGGGGCAAUGGUGAUAACCCUUAACAUGAUAGGUGUGGAACUGCAACUAUUUUGCUGUAUUGCACUGUGAUCUUGACGAAGAACAUUGAGAAAUGAGGACCUGCUCAUUUUGGUAGAGGCUGACAAUGCAGUUUCUCUUGCUAUCUGACCAAGCUAGAUAGUUUAUUAUCAGUACUUGUGGAACCUAUUCUAUCAUUAUGUAUGUUCACAGAUAGUAUGUUUUUAUCAUUUGUGGAACCUAUUCUAUCACUUGUGGAACCUAGAUAGUUUUAUGUAUGUUUUUGGCUAAUUAUAUAUUAUCACUUGUGGAGAAUGAAAAGUCAUAUAUUUUUAA